GCUGGACGAGGUGGUGCGUGUGGCACCUGUAGCGCCUGCUGUCCCAGCUACUCGGGAGGCUGAGACAGGAGGAUGGCUUGAGUCCAGGAGUUCUGGGCUGUAGUGUGCUAUGCUGAUCCAGUGUCUGCACUAAGUUCGGCCUCAAUAUGGUGACCUCUUGGGAACGGGAGGCCACCAGGUUGCCUAAGGAGUGGUGAACCAGUCCAGGUCAGAAACGGAAUAGGUCAGAACUCCCAUGCUGAUCAGUAGUGGGAUUGUACUUGUGAGUAGCCACUGCACUCCAGCCUGGGCAACAUAACGAGACCCCAUCUCUU
Non-coding RNA from Otolemur garnettii (small-eared galago), 314 nucleotides. NCBI's taxonomy places the organism in Eukaryota, Metazoa, Chordata, Mammalia, Primates, Galagidae. The record is from Rfam.